Long non-coding RNA from Sapajus apella (tufted capuchin), 946 nucleotides. RefSeq lists it as uncharacterized. The record is from RefSeq and is a predicted model, not a curated record. Lineage: Eukaryota; Metazoa; Chordata; Mammalia; Primates; Cebidae. The transcript has 2 exons.
UUCUGAGAAUUAUUUGCUAAGAUCUGCAGAAAUAUAGAUCCAGUGUCCCUAAAUCUAUUGCUGUGUUGUUUUGUAAAGACAUUUUGAAGAGUGAGUUUUUAUAGGACCUCCACCUCAGGCUGGAUUCCCAUUGCCCCAGAAUCCAUUCAACCUUAACUGGAGUUCCUCAGCAUAGAGAACCAUGUUCAGUUUUGACAACUGAAAAAAGGGCCACCUUUUGAAAAGUGCUUUAUAUUAUCAGGAGAUGAAGACCAGCAUGAGGAAACUGGGUUAAUAAUCUGAGGUGAAUAACUAGUGUCCCUAACUAGCAUCCUGUGCUGGGAAAAACCUGUGAAAAAGUCAUCCUGCAAUUCACUAGCUGCCCAUUUUAUGGCUCACAUCCUUGGGGCCUCCCCCCGUUUUAGCUGAUGGGGAAAUAAAAAUGCUUAACCACCUUCUACCACCACGGGGAGCAGGCAGUUGGACCAGGAACCACCCUUCGGCUCAUCCUAAACAGGCUGAAAAGUUGGCAGGUUUAGGGAAUGAAUCCAGGGAGAAAAAACUGCUUCUCGUCUCCUCUCUUCUCCUACCCUUGCACUCAUCCCAAUGUUACUGGGGAAAUAUUGAUAGGACUCCAAUAUUUGGAAAAAAAUGACAAUUUCAAGCUUUGAGAUGUGUUCCAUGCUGCGGAUAGAUCAUUUUGCCACCCAUUGCAACUUCACAUCGUAGGAGCAGUGUGGCCCAGGGUUGUCACCUCAUCUACUACUUUUCUCAUUUAAACUUUUUGCCAAGUGAAUGAUAUUAAGAUUCUUGUUUUAAAGAACGUUAACCGAAGAAAGAACAUGAGUGAUGGCAGUCAUUCCAUAUAGGGUUUCAGUUUGGUAUAAUAAUUAAUUAAGCCAUUAGUUCAGUAAGAGUUCUUGAGUGCCAGCUGUGUGCCAGGCACUGUUCUAAGUGCUGGAUGUAA